This 216-nucleotide ribosomal RNA is filed under the name Glomeromycotina sp. Its description in RNAcentral is "partial small subunit ribosomal RNA". The stretch from base 46 to 216 matches the Rfam family "Eukaryotic small subunit ribosomal RNA", at positions 692 to 864 of the family's 1831-position model. Lineage: Eukaryota; Fungi; Glomeromycota. The record is from RNAcentral.
GGGUCAGUAGGUUGGUCGUGCCACCGGUACGUACUGGUCUCACCGAUUCCUCCUUCCUGAAGAACCGUAAUGCCAUUAAUUUGGUGUUGCGGGGAAACAGGACUGUUACUUUGAAAAAAUCAGAGUGUUUAAAGCAAGCUAACGCUUGAAUACAUUAGCAUGGAAUAAUGAAAUAGGACGAUCGAUCCUAUUUUGUUGGUUUCUAGGAUUGACGUA